AUGCAAGUCGAACGGUGAAGCCCAGCUUGCUGGGUGGAUCAGUGGCGAACGGGUGAGUAACACGUGAGCAACCUGCCCUCCACUUCGGGAUAAGCCUUGGAAACGGGGUCUAAUACCGGAUAUGAGCAUCUGCCGCAUGGUGGGUGUUGGAAAGUUUUUCGGUGGGGGAUGGGCUCGCGGCCUAUCAGCUUGUUGGUGGGGUGAUGGCCUACCAAGGCGUCGACGGGUAGCCGGCCUGAGAGGGCGACCGGCCACACUGGGACUGAGACACGGCCCAGACUCCUACGGGAGGCAGCAGUGGGGAAUAUUGCACAAUGGGCGAAAGCCUGAUGCAGCGACGCCGCGUGAGGGAUGACGGCCUUCGGGUUGUAAACCUCUUUCAGCAGGGAAGAAGGCCUUCGGGUGGACGGUACCUGCAGAAGAAGCGCCGGCUAACUACGUGCCAGCAGCCGCGGUAAUACGUAGGGCGCAAGCGUUGUCCGGAAUUAUUGGGCGUAAAGAGCUCGUAGGCGGUCUGUCGCGUCUGGUGUGAAAACCCGAGGCUCAACCUCGGGCUUGCAUCGGGUACGGGCAGACUAGAGUGCGGUAGGGGAGACUGGAAUUCCUGGUGUAGCGGUGGAAUGCGCAGAUAUCAGGAGGAACACCGAUGGCGAAGGCAGGUCUCUGGGCCGCAACUGACGCUGAGGAGCGAAAGCAUGGGGAGCGAACAGGAUUAGAUACCCUGGUAGUCCAUGCCGUAAACGUUGGGCACUAGGUGUGGGGCUCAUUCCACGAGUUCCGUGCCGCAGCUAACGCAUUAAGUGCCCCGCCUGGGGAGUACGGCCGCAAGGCUAAAACUCAAAGGAAUUGACUGGGGGCCCGCACAAGCGGCCGGAGCAUGCGGAAUUAAUUUCGAUGCAACGCGAAGAACCUUACCAAGGCUUGACAUUGCACCGGGACGCUUGCCAAAAAAUGGUGGGUUCCGCCAAGGUCUGUUGCACAAGUCGUUGCAUGGGUCGUCGUCCAGCUCCGUGUCGUGGAGAUGUUGGGUUUAAGUCCCCGCAACGAAGCGCAACCCUCGUCCCAUGUUUGCCAAGCGGGGUUAUUGCCCGGGGACUCAUGGGAGACUGCGGGGU
Molecule: ribosomal RNA, 1115 nt
Filed under: Isoptericola halotolerans
Lineage: Bacteria; Bacillati; Actinomycetota; Actinomycetes; Micrococcales; Promicromonosporaceae
Description: bacterial SSU rRNA
Rfam family: Bacterial small subunit ribosomal RNA
Source: RNAcentral